GAUGAACGCUGGCGGCGUGCCUAAUACAUGCAAGUCGAGCGAACAGACGAGGAGCUUGCUCCUUUGACGUUAGCGGCGGACGGGUGAGUAACACGUAGGUAACCUACCUAUAAGACUGGGAUAACUUCGGGAAACCGGAGCUAAUACCGGAUAAUAUUUCGAACCGCAUGGUUCGAUAGUGAAAGAUGGCUUUGCUAUCAUUUAUAGAUGGACCUGCGCCGUAUUAGCUAGUUGGUAAGGUAACGGCUUACCAAGGCAACGAUACGUAGCCGACCUGAGAGGGUGAUCGGCCACGCUGGAACUGAGACACGGUCCAGACUCCUACGGGAGGCAGCAGUAGGGAAUCUUCCGCAAAGGGCGAAAGCCUGACGGAGCAACUCCGCGUGAGUGAUGAAGGUCUUCGGAUCGUAAAACUCUGUUAUUAGGGAAGAACAAACGUGUAAGUAACUGUGCACGUCUUGACGGUACCUAAUCAGAAAGCCACGGCUAACUACGUG
RNAcentral lists this ribosomal RNA (497 nucleotides) under uncultured bacterium. RNAcentral's name for it is "partial 16S ribosomal RNA". It matches the Rfam family "Bacterial small subunit ribosomal RNA", at positions 28 to 507 of the family's 1533-position model. The record is from RNAcentral.